AACGAACGCUGGCGGCAGGCUUAACACAUGCAAGUCGAACGCCCCGCAAGGGGUGUGGCAGCCGGGUGAGUACCGCGUGGGAACAUACCCUUUUCUACGGAAUAGCUCUGGGAAACUGGAAUUAAUACCGUAUACGCCCUACGGGGGAAAGAUUUAUCGGGGAAGGAUUGGCCCGCGUUGGAUUAGCUAGUUGGUGGGGUAAAGGCCUACCAAGGCGACGAUCCAUAGCUGGUCUGAGAGGAUGAUCAGCCACAUUGGGACUGAGACACGGCCCAAACUCCUACGGGAGGCAGCAGUGGGGAAUAUUGGACAAUGGGCGCAAGCCUGAUCCAGCCAUGCCGCGUGAGUGAUGAAGGCCUUAGGGUUGUAAAGCUCUUUCACCGAUGAAGAUAAUGACGGUAGUCGGAGAAGAAGCCCCGGCUAACUUCGUG
RNAcentral lists this ribosomal RNA (431 nucleotides) under uncultured bacterium. Its description in RNAcentral is "partial 16S ribosomal RNA". It matches the Rfam family "Bacterial small subunit ribosomal RNA", at positions 29 to 507 of the family's 1533-position model. The record is from RNAcentral.